RNAcentral lists this long non-coding RNA (1255 nucleotides) under Oryctolagus cuniculus (rabbit). RNAcentral's name for it is "lncRNA (ENSOCUG00000033047.1)". Lineage: Eukaryota; Metazoa; Chordata; Mammalia; Lagomorpha; Leporidae. The record is from RNAcentral.
AUGUUUUCUCCAAUACCAGUACAGUGCCCAUCCCCAAAUAUCUGGGAAUUCCUAGGGGUGUUUAAUUUCCCUUGUCAUUUCUGGCUUAAUGCUCCUGUACCGAUUAGUUUAACAGACAUCUUGCUGUCCCUACUCUGUAGGACAUUAACCCAAGCAUGGAACUCACGCUCUCAGCUCCCACGGGACAAGUUUCCAUGGGCACAGCACUCACACAAUGCAUCGGUGUAUGCAGAAGAAUUCACUGAGAAUUUGGGACACCGAAGGUGGAGUUUACAUCACAGAAAUAAAAAUCAUGAAACUAAACACUGCAUCUCCUACAUCUUGGAUGAUUUGCAGGCCUUAGUCCUACCCUUUCCUUUGCCAACAAAGGAGGAAGCAAAGGAUCCAGAAAGAUUUCAGCAUGUGGGGAGUCAGAAUCAGGAAACAACCAAGCAGUGACUGAGGCCACCGUGAGCUCUGCCUUGUGCUUGGCCCUGCAGAAGCUUCUAAGCGAUUCCUGGCAAAACCAAGAAGUCUACGGCUGGGCGUUCACUGAGCUCCAGUCUCAGGGUGGGGUGGGGCAGGGUGGGGACCGAGGAGAACUGGAAAGCCCUAGCUCUGGCUAAAAAGGCAGCAGGUGCUCCGCCCCAGCCAACUGCUGCCAUGUGGGAAUGCAGGCUUAGUCUUGUCCAUCUGCAGAUUUGUCCAAAAAAGAUAGAAAUCAAGGGGUUUUCAUCUCUCCCUUGAAAAAGUUGUCAACUGAUCUGAAUUUCUAAAAAACAUUGUAUGGGCCAAGAAUCGUGCAGGCCAAAUUAAAUAAGAGUACAGGCCUGAUUUGGCCUGUCAGUUUGUGCUCUGUGCUUUACAUUACAAAUUCCCUUAGAAUCUAAAAAUGCUUGCCACUCAAAAUGACUUCAUGACGUUUAUGAUGGCCUAUGGCUAUUUCAUGGAGAAAAAAAUUUGAGCAAGGGGCUGGUGUUGCGGUGCAGUGGGUUAGGCUGCCUCUUGCCACGCCUGCAUCCCAUUUUGGAGUGCUGAUUCAGGUCCCAGCUGCUCCUGGUGGCUCCACAUCCACCCAGCUCCCUGCUAGAGUACUUGGGAGAGCAGCAAGUGAUGGCAAGUGCUUGAGCCCCUGCCACCCAUGUGGGAGACCAAGAUGGUGUUCCUGGCUCUGGGCUUUGGCCUGGCAGACUAGUCAAUUUCUCUCUUCUCCCACCCCUCAACCAUUGUGCCUUUCAAAUAAGUCAAUAAAUCUUGAAAACUGGCAGCUGUUCCA